AUUGAACGCUGGCGGCAGGCCUAAUACAUGCAAGUCGAACGAGAAAGCAUCUUCGGAUGUGAGUACAGUGGCGGACGGGUGAGUAAUACAUAGGAAUCUACCCAAUGUGGGGGAUAGCUCGGGGAAACUCGAAUUAAUACCGCAUAAUCUCUACGGAGUAAAGGGGGCUUCGGCUCUCGCCAUCGGAUGAGCCUAUGCAGGAUUAGCUUGUUGGUGAGGUAAUGGCUUACCAAGGCAACGAUCCUUAGCUGGUUUGAGAGGAUGACCAGCCACAUCGGGACUGAGACACGGCCCGGACUUCUACGGAAGGCAGCAGUAGGGAAUAUUGGACAAUGAGCGAAAGCUUGAUCCAGCCAUGCCGCGUGUGUGAUGACGGCCUUCGGGUUGUAAAGCACUUUAGGUAAUGAGGAAAAAUUAGAUGUUAAUACCACCUAAUCAUGACGUUAAUUACAGAAUAAGCACCGGCUAAAUCCGUG
Molecule: ribosomal RNA, 476 nt
Filed under: uncultured bacterium
Lineage: Bacteria
Description: bacterial SSU rRNA
Rfam family: Bacterial small subunit ribosomal RNA
Source: RNAcentral